GAUGAACGCUGGCGGCGUGCCUAAUACAUGCAAGUCGAGCGAACAGACGAGGAGCUUGCUCCUCUGACGUUAGCGGCGGACGGGUGAGUAACACGUGGAUAACCUACCUAUAAGACUGGGAUAACUUCGGGAAACCGGAGCUAAUACCGGAUAAUAUAUUGAACCGCAUGGUUCAAUAGUGAAAGACGGUUUUGCUGUCACUUAUAGAUGGAUCCGCGCCGCAUUAGCUAGUUGGUAAGGUAACGGCUUACCAAGGCAACGAUGCGUAGCCGACCUGAGAGGGUGAUCGGCCACACUGGAACUGAGACACGGUCCAGACUCCUACGGGGGGCAGCAGUAGGGAAUCUUCCGCAAUGGGCGAAAGCCUGACGGAGCAACGCCGCGUGAGUGAUGAAGGUCUUCGGAUCGUUAAACUCUGUUAUUAGGGAAGAACAAAUGUGUAAGUAACUAUGCACGUCUUGACGGUACCUAAUCAGAAAGCCACGGCUAACUACGUG
This 497-nucleotide ribosomal RNA is filed under the name uncultured bacterium. Its description in RNAcentral is "partial 16S ribosomal RNA". It matches the Rfam family "Bacterial small subunit ribosomal RNA", at positions 28 to 507 of the family's 1533-position model. The record is from RNAcentral.